This 375-nucleotide ribosomal RNA is filed under the name uncultured organism. RNAcentral's name for it is "bacterial SSU rRNA". It matches the Rfam family "Archaeal small subunit ribosomal RNA", at positions 476 to 851 of the family's 1478-position model. The record is from RNAcentral.
CCAGCACCCCGAGUUGUCGGGACGAUUAUUGGGCCUAAAGCAUCCGUAGCCUGUUCUGCAGGUCCUCCGUUAAAUCCACCUGCUCAACGGGUGGGCUGCGGAGGAUACCGCAGAGCUAGGAGGCGGGAGAGGCAAACGGUACUCAGUAGGUAGGGGUAAAAUCCAUUGAUCUACUGAAGACCACCAGUGGCGAAGGCGGUUUGCCAGAACGCGCUCGACGGUGAGGGAUGAAAGCUGGGGGAGCAAACCGGAUUAGAUACCCGGGUAGUCCCAGCUGUAAACGAUGCAGACUCGGUGAUGGGUUGGCCUUGAGCCAACCCAGUGCCGCAGGGAAGCCGUUAAGUCUGCCGCCUGGGGAGUACGGUCGCAAGACUG